Molecule: ribosomal RNA, 306 nt
Filed under: uncultured bacterium
Lineage: Bacteria
Description: partial 16S ribosomal RNA
Rfam family: Bacterial small subunit ribosomal RNA
Source: RNAcentral
GACAGCAGUAGCCGCGGGAAUACAGAGGGUGCGAGCGUUAAUCGGAUUUACUGGGCGUAAAGCGUGCGUAGGCGGCUUCUUAAGUCGGAUGUGAAAUCCCUGAGCUUAACUUAGGAAUUGCAUUCGAUACUGGGAAGCUAGAGUAUGGGAGAGGAUGGUAGAAUUCCAGGUGUAGCGGUGAAAUGCGUAGAGAUCUGGAGGAAUACCGAUGGCGAAGGCAGCCAUCUGGCCUAAUACUGACGCUGAGGUACGAAAGCAUGGGGAGCAAACAGGAUUAGAUACCCAGUAGUCCCUGUCUCUUAUACA